UCCGCAUAAGCCGUGGUGGUGCGGCGCCGGGCUUCCACCCCGGAGAAGCGGGUUCGACUCCCGCAUGCGGGACCA
RNAcentral lists this transfer RNA (75 nucleotides) under Paraplanobispora siamensis. RNAcentral describes it as "Planobispora siamensis tRNA-Gly". It matches the Rfam family "tRNA". Rfam says of the family: Transfer RNA (tRNA) molecules are approximately 80 nucleotides in length. Their secondary structure includes four short double-helical elements and three loops (D, anti-codon, and T loops). The record is from RNAcentral. Lineage: Bacteria; Bacillati; Actinomycetota; Actinomycetes; Streptosporangiales; Streptosporangiaceae.